UAAUCGCGGAUCAGCAGGCCGCGGUGAAUACGUUCUCGGGUCUUGUACACACCGCCCGUCAAGGCAGUAAAGCCGGUAGUAGCAGAACCUCGAUUGUAUCGGGGGAUGCUAAGAUCGGUGAUAAGGCUUAAGUCGUAACAAGGUAUCCCUAGCCGAAGCUGGGGAUGGAUCACCUCCUUUCUA
Molecule: ribosomal RNA, 183 nt
Filed under: Candidatus Levybacteria bacterium RIFCSPHIGHO2_12_FULL_40_31
Lineage: Bacteria; Candidatus Levyibacteriota
Description: partial 16S ribosomal RNA
Rfam family: Bacterial small subunit ribosomal RNA
Source: RNAcentral